AGCGGGGUGGAGCAGUGGUAGCUCGUUGGGCUCAUAACCCAAAGGUCGUAGGUUCAAAUCCUACCCCCGCAACCA
This 75-nucleotide transfer RNA is filed under the name Candidatus Yanofskybacteria bacterium CG10_big_fil_rev_8_21_14_0_10_36_16. Its description in RNAcentral is "tRNA-Met". It matches the Rfam family "tRNA". Rfam says of the family: Transfer RNA (tRNA) molecules are approximately 80 nucleotides in length. Their secondary structure includes four short double-helical elements and three loops (D, anti-codon, and T loops). The record is from RNAcentral. Lineage: Bacteria; Candidatus Yanofskyibacteriota.